CGUCUCCAGGGCAACCCUUACCUGGCGGCUGUUCAACGGCAACGCGGGCGUUGGACAGAGAACUUGGGGGUGGGGGCGCUGCGGCUGAGAGACGCCGAGAGAGACCAGAGACAGAGCCGCGAGGGCAGGCUGGAGAGACUGCGAGCGGACGAAACCGAGCCGGGCCCGGAAACCGGGACGGCGGACUCCAGGAGAGACAGUGACAGCCAAGGCUAGAGUGAUAGGAAGGACAAGAGGCUGCCAUUGUGGACAUAGCAGAAUCUGUCAGGGCUGGACAGGGGGAAGAGAUUCUGUUGAGAUGCUCAGGAAGACAGAAUGAAGACAGCUCCCCACCCACUGGUACUGGUAAAGGUACCCAUUGGUGACAUUGGCCUCUGCCAUACUGCCAAGCAGAACUGAAAGUCCAUCACUCUGCAUAUCAAGUUAGAGGUACUUUGGAGGUUCAAAGAGGGUAAGAAGCUAAUGCAGAUCUCCUAGGCCUUGGGGCUGGCCAUCUCCACUGUUGCCUCAAUCCAUGUCAACAAGGACAAGAUCUGGGCCAUUUCCCAGGUAGCCACUCUGGUCAUUGCCACAUACCUGACCCGUUGCCAGGGUAUGGUGAUGGGUCACAUGGAAUACCUGCUGAGGUGCAGAAUGAGGAACAAAAAUGGCAAAACCUGCCUAUCAAUAUGGUGCUCAUCUAGAACAAGGCAUGAUAGCUCUUGGCACAGCUGCAGAGAUAACAGGGCCAUGGGGCCCAGCUGAGACCUCUGGAGCCAGCAAUGGCUAGUUUGUCACUUCAAGGUACAUCACAAUAUACUGCUUAUAGAGGAACCAGCUGUAGCUGACACUUAGGCUACUGCCCAAUACCCUCCACACUAUCCUGGAUGAAGGCUGUUACCAUGUCAAAUGUUCAGUGUGGAUGAGAUGGGCUUGUUCUGGAAGUGACUGCCUGAGUACUCUGCUAGUGCAGGAGGAAGAGACCAUACCUGGAUCCAAGGCCUCUAAGGACCACCUGCCCAUGCUACUGGGUAGCAAUGCAGCUGGUGACUUCAAGCUGAAGCUCCUGCUGGUAUGUUCCUCAGAAAAUCUAUGUGCCCUCCAAGGCCAACCUACUUGUGGUGUGGCAUUCCAACUGCAAUGACUGGCUGACUCCCAGUAUUGUCCAGGAGUGGUUUACUGGCUGCUGUGGGGAGCUACUGUGCACGACAUGGCCUCCCACACUGCGCCAUCUUGUUCCUGGACAGGGCACCGUGCUACCCCUCCCACCUGGGUGGCCUUUCAGCCCAUGUGCAUGUCUAGUUCCUGCUCAAGAAUACCUCAGCCCUAGCCCAGCUCAUGAAUCAGGGUGUCAUUGCUGCAUUUAAGUCCCAUUAUCUGUGCUGCACAUUCAGCCAACUGGUCCAGGAGAUGGCUGGCAAGGACCAGUCCUCUGCACAGGACUUUUGGUGCAGCUAUACUGUCAUGACCACUGUGGACAACAUUGUGGAGGCCUGGGCAGAACUGCAGCCUGCUACCAUACAUAGUGCCUGGAGGAAGCACUUGCCUCAGUGUGUGCCGGCUGGUGCCCCUGAGCCUGAUGCCAUGCCCCAGCUCCUUCGCAGCAUUGUGGCACUGACCAGCCAUGUGGGCCUUGGGUAUGUGGCUGAGGUCAAUGUUGCUCACCUGCUCCAGAGCCAUGGGGAGCCCAUAUCCCAUCUUGUCCCUCAGGGUGUGGAGGAUGGAGUUGCCAGCAGCUCUUGCCUUCUUUAGGAGGCAGGGAAAGGCCUGGUUUCCAGAAGAUUAGAGCCAGAGCUCAGAGAGACCACAGAGGGUGUGGACACUGAGGAAGGUGGUGUGAGGGUGCUCAGCCACAAGCAUGUGGCCCAGGCUUUGUCCCACUUUGCUGCUGGCCUUUGGGUCCUUAUACAGAAUGACUCCAACAGGGAGCGCCACCUGCUGGUGUCCCAGCAUGUCCACAGUACCCUCACCCGCCUCUGGAAGCUGCACCAAGACAGACUACAGCAGGCUUGGGUAGCUGCAUUAGUAGGUCCUGUGGCAGUGGUCACAAAGGUGGUCACCCUAGAGGGGGCCUGCAGAGGAUGGGUGAGAAGCUAGGGCACAGGCCCAGCACAGAUCUCUACAGCUAUUCAGGCCAAGGCCUUCAGAUGAACUCUCCCUGGUGAUAUUUUGUGUGAGGAGGGUGGAUAUUGCCUCUCCUCCUCCCAUGGUUUUCACAUCUUAUUUGGUGUGGAUUUUCGGCAGUGACUCUUACAUUGCACCAGGCUUGGAGGACAGGAAAGUGGUGUUUUCUAAUUAGUGGGUAAACUACAUGGUCCAGGAGGGCCCUCCUAUGACACAGAAGCACCCAGGAGGCACAUUAGUUACCUCCUACCAUGGCCUUCCUUGAGGGC
This is a long non-coding RNA of Tupaia belangeri chinensis (Chinese tree shrew), 2372 nucleotides long. RefSeq lists it as uncharacterized. The record is from RefSeq and is a predicted model, not a curated record. Lineage: Eukaryota; Metazoa; Chordata; Mammalia; Scandentia; Tupaiidae. The transcript is spliced from 2 exons.